Ribosomal RNA from Fukomys damarensis (Damara mole-rat), 109 nucleotides. NCBI's taxonomy places the organism in Eukaryota, Metazoa, Chordata, Mammalia, Rodentia, Bathyergidae. The record is from Ensembl.
ACCUAUGGCCAUACCACCCUGAACAUACCCGAUCUCAUCUGAUCUUGGAAGCUAAGCAAGCUUGGGCCUGGUUAGUACUUGGAUGAGAGAAAUCUUUAUACCGUAUUUG